Molecule: long non-coding RNA, 2233 nt
Organism: Neodiprion virginianus
Lineage: Eukaryota; Metazoa; Arthropoda; Insecta; Hymenoptera; Diprionidae
Exons: 6
Source: RefSeq, a predicted model, not a curated record
GAAGCGGCAGCGAUUAUUCGCUAUUCAGACGCAAGACGUUCAAAUCACGCGCCACGUUCAAAUGUGGGUCACGUGGCUCGGCGCACAUCGACCAUCAUGGUAUCAGGCGUCUGUCUGCUUUUCUGCGUCGUUGCAUUACAUCUGCGCUGCUUGCAUAGUCUGUCAGAUAUCGAGUUCGCGAUCAUUUAUGAAUUCAGUUAAUGUUUGUGGCUAGGACUUGGAACCAAUCAAUCUCUUGCAUUGACAUAUUUAUCAACGUUGCAGGUUAGAACGUGGUUAGAACGUAUUUUAAAUCUCAAUAUCGUCCUUAGCGUCAGACUUGGAAAUUAUAUCUGCUACUAAACACCAAGUGAAGUAUUCGUCGCUCCGUGCUGUCAAAACUUAUUCUUCUAGAAAUGCUUACCCUGCACCGAUCAAUCUUUUCGCUUUUUACGCUACGAAUGGGCGGAAAACAGCAACGGUAUUUUUCAUCGUUCUCUGCGAUGGAAGACCCGCACCACGGAUGGAUCGACGGAAAGAUAUUUAAGUCUCUGAUACGCCAGCGUACCAGCCCCUAACCUCACUUCGCCUGUCCCUUCGUUAAUAUCUGCCGAGGCAAGAAUGAUUUGUCACAAUCAGUGGUUUCUUAAUAUUUUCGAAGUUUACAAUUUUUACUUGAAUAUUGCUACUAAGGACCGUUCUGAUAUCGUAACACGGUGCUUGAAGCAAAGUUACCUGAGCAACCAAGUGAAAAUCAAGUAGUGCUAAUUAGCUGUUCGCAUUGUGUCUUGGCAAAUUUCAUCGGAAGACAAACUUCUGGCUUCAGAAUAAGAACUGCUUUGACUGAUGUGUGAGAUAUAAAUAAACACACCAUGUUGUGUCAUCUGAGAUUGGAGUUGUCAAGUGACGUAUGUGAAGGAUUGUAGUCAGACCUGAGGUAAUUAGAACAAAAAAUGAAUGAAUGUAUGAAGAUAAGCAAGCACAAGUAGUCGUACAUCAUCACAACCAUGGGCUCGUAGGAAUCUAGUGCGAUUGUGAUAAUAUGCUUACUGCAGUGAAAGACAAUGCAGAUAAGCUUGACAAAUAGUAACAACUUCUGAGAUACCACGGUAAAAUUUCAAUAGAACGGGAAGUUCGCUGGAUUUUUUCAAAAAAUAUCCUGAUGCAAAGGAAUGAUGAAAAAAUAGCAGAUGGGAUGAAAAUAACUUGAAGAAAAUGCGUCUUUUAUUCGUCAAUUGACUUUUAAUACAUUAUUCUCUAAAUGAAUCUAAUAAUGGACUGAACGAUUUUGAAGCCUGGAAUUUUUUUUUUUUAAACUUAAUUCUGUCUUCGUACAAGUAACGUAAAUAUAGACCAACCUGGAAGCUAUUAAUGAAAAUUCUUCUUUGACCGGUGGUAUUAUCAAACAAGAAACUGAAUUCGAUCAUUGCUGUCCUCAAAUAGCCAUGUUAUCAAUACUGGUAACCCCUCCUUUUCAAGCAGAUAUCAAUCAGCAUCAAGUGGAGUUGACUGAAGUUGGGAUUAUCGGAAUGGAGAGAAAAACCAAGUAACUCAAACCUCCGAACGAAAUUUGCUGAAAAUAAAAUGGCUUUUGACAGCUUAGAUUGAUUACCACGAGCCGAUAUUAAAGAAUGUAUCACAGAUGAAAUCAGCCACUUGAGAUUGUGAUCUUGUUUUCCAUCACACAUCUAGUAGAUUGGACAUCAAAAUGCUUACAUAUAAAAUCCAACGGCACAAAAUAAUACUUGACAAAGAUUUCGUAGCAAAUCACAAAAUAUCAGUUAAGCUUGAAUUUAACUCGAUAAUUAACUUUAGAAGAGCAAUCAGAUAUUUAAGUAGGCACUUGAGAAAUACCCGUCAUCCCGAAUCGUACACAAAUGUAUAUUAAUAUCUAAUUGCCACUUUGAUAUAAGUACUUUAUGCGAAGAACUAUGUAUGUUCUGCUCUUUAUUGCGUUGUAUAUACGUUUUACAAAUUUGUUUAUCAUGUUGUAAACUCGGUCCAUUCUAUUACUUAUCUCGGUAAUUCCAAUGCAAUCAUUCCGUGUUAACUCAUUGUCAGGCCCCAUUGUUGACAAAUUACUGUCAAGUAAGGCUUCACGUAUUUUUAUUUAUGACAUUAGCAAAGUUACUCAAUGUGCUCAUAUAUUUUUCGUCAACCAUGAUAUGUGCCGUGACGUCAAAUAUGAAGCUCAAACACUUCUAUUCGCAAUAAAGGCAUGUGUAUACUGCGUAUGCAUGCAUUUUAUAUGUUA